GAUCAUGGCUCAGGAUGAACGCUAGCGACAGGCUUAACACAUGCAAGUCGAGGGGCAGCAUGAACUUAGCUUGCUAAGUUUGAUGGCGACCGGCGCACUGGUGAGUAACGCGUAUGCAACAUACCUAUCAGAGGAGAAUAGCUCAUCGAAAGAUGAAUUAAUGCUCCAUAAAACAGGGGUCCCGCAUGGGGAUAUUUGUUAAAGAUUCAUCGCUGAUAG
This 219-nucleotide ribosomal RNA is filed under the name uncultured bacterium. Its description in RNAcentral is "partial 16S ribosomal RNA". It matches the Rfam family "Bacterial small subunit ribosomal RNA", at positions 15 to 224 of the family's 1533-position model. The record is from RNAcentral.